Long non-coding RNA from Cucumis melo (muskmelon), 1192 nucleotides. RefSeq lists it as uncharacterized. NCBI's taxonomy places the organism in Eukaryota, Viridiplantae, Streptophyta, Magnoliopsida, Cucurbitales, Cucurbitaceae. The record is from RefSeq and is a predicted model, not a curated record. The transcript is spliced from 4 exons.
UCGUCGAUCAAUGACCCUGGAAAUCGCCGUUUCCAUUCACUAACUGCUAGUUUCACUACUAAUUUAGCUGCCAUGGAUCUGUUCCUUACUGAAGCAACUAUGUUGAUCACUUGAUUGUUUGUCAAUACAUCCCAUAUCUGCAAUUUCGUGGAAACUUGAGGAGUUGAAAUGAGACCGUAAUCUUUGAGGCAAAAAUCUCCCAAGGAUCUUGACAUGGCGAGACCUGGAUAAUUUCCAUCUGAGAACCGCCCGGGAGUCACCUACGCUUGCAACCACCAAAUGCUCUCCCUGAUGAUCAAAAUGGUCAAGGGAUUGGAUAAAAAUUGGAAAAUAUAGGAUGUUAUUUUCAAGGAAAUUCACCUGUUUGAUAAUGGUCACGGCUGUUGUUCCACUACAGAAACAAUCAAUAGAUGAAUCCAAGCUGAGUUCUUGAUCAACUUCUUUGAAAGAUUCUUCAAGAGCAGCUUCCCAUUUCGAAACCAACCGGUUUCGUUGUUUUCCACCAUUGUUAUCUGGUUCAACACAAGCUUCAGAAACCACCCCAUUUUCAGGUUCAUAUAGCUGCUUCUUGAUAGCUGUGGAGAGCUUCGUGGGUAGAAUGUCUCGUGCAUGGCGAGCAACCCUAUGACCAGAUGGGCCAUGACCAUCAAAAACUCCACAAAACAUCAAAUCUUUCUCCCCUGAGAAAUCCUAGGAUCCACGUAACCGAACGGUGGCGCCAUCUUCACCACGUCGAACCUCUUCUCCAUCAUCACCAUUGGAAUCCCUAUCAUCUUUAUCAUAGGUCGUGUAGCCUCCAUACAGGUUAUCUUUUGUACAACAAGCUCCCAUUUCUGAGACGACCCUCCAACUAGGGCAAUCUCAAAAAGGAAUUUGACCCAACAGAAGAGAUGAAAUACCAACAAAAUUUCUGAGAAAGAAAAUGCAUUAAAGUGAAGAUGGAUCGAGGAUUUCUCUGAUUCUGAACCCAAAGGAAGCAGAAACAGAGAAGAGGAGGAGAGGAGAGAUAGUUGAAUUAUAAUUCACAAUGGAGAGGGAGAUAAUGGAUUGAAGGAAUGUUGUUUGGAUGAGAAUGUGGAAUUUCAACGAACAAAAUUAUAUUUAGAAAAUCAAGGGUGGUGUCUUACCACCAUGGGUCUCUUGUUGACAUUUGUGUUUAGUGGGUUUGUUCUUAUUUCAUUUCUUCAACCUA